CCCGAGGUACGCAAACUGGCAAAGCGGCACAGUUGAGCGCUGUGUGACUCUGCGGGUUCGACUCCCGCUCUCGGGA
Molecule: transfer RNA, 76 nt
Filed under: Plesiocystis pacifica
Lineage: Bacteria; Pseudomonadati; Myxococcota; Nannocystales; Nannocystaceae
Description: tRNA-Leu
Rfam family: tRNA
About the family: Transfer RNA (tRNA) molecules are approximately 80 nucleotides in length. Their secondary structure includes four short double-helical elements and three loops (D, anti-codon, and T loops).
Source: RNAcentral